AUUGAACGCUGGCGGCAUGCCUUACACAUGCAAGUCGAACGGCAGCACGGGAGCAAUCCUGGUGGCGAGUGGCGAACGGGUGAGUAAUAUAUCGGAACGUGCCCAGUCGUGGGGAUAACGUAGCGAAAGCUACGCUAAUACCGCAUACGAUCUAAGGAUGAAAGCAGGGGACCGCAAGGCCUUGUGCUCCUGGAGCGGCCGAUAUCUGAUUAGCUAGUUGGUGAGGUAAAGGCUCACCAAGGCGACGAUCAGUAGCUGGUCUGAGAGGACGACCAGCCACACUGGAACUGAGACACGGUCCAGACUCCUACGGGAGGCAGCAGUGGGGAAUUUUGGACAAUGGGCGGCAAGCCUGAUCCAGCAAUGCCGCGUGAGUGAAGAAGGCCUC
Molecule: ribosomal RNA, 388 nt
Filed under: uncultured bacterium
Lineage: Bacteria
Description: bacterial SSU rRNA
Rfam family: Bacterial small subunit ribosomal RNA
Source: RNAcentral